GCGCCCGUAGCUCAACUGGAUAGAGCGUCGGACUUCGGAUCCGAAGGUUGUGGGUUCGAAUCUCGCCGGGCGCGCCA
This 77-nucleotide transfer RNA is filed under the name Petrotogaceae bacterium. RNAcentral describes it as "tRNA-Arg". It matches the Rfam family "tRNA". From Rfam's summary of the family: Transfer RNA (tRNA) molecules are approximately 80 nucleotides in length. Their secondary structure includes four short double-helical elements and three loops (D, anti-codon, and T loops). The record is from RNAcentral. Lineage: Bacteria; Thermotogati; Thermotogota; Thermotogae; Petrotogales; Petrotogaceae.